AUUUAGCCCCGAUAGUAGUGGAAAUCCUUGUGAGCCGGAGUUCGGCUCACAAGAUUGCAACGGAUAGCGGGCCCCAUG
RNAcentral lists this small RNA (78 nucleotides) under Flavobacterium sp. A45. Its description in RNAcentral is "Flavo-1 RNA". It matches the Rfam family "Flavo-1 RNA". The record is from Rfam by way of RNAcentral. Lineage: Bacteria; Pseudomonadati; Bacteroidota; Flavobacteriia; Flavobacteriales; Flavobacteriaceae.